GAUGAAGAACGCAGCGAAAUGCGAUAAGUAAUGUGAAUUGCAGAAUUCAGUGAAUCAUCGAAUCUUUGAACGCACAUUGCGCCCGCCAGUAUUCUGGCGGGCAUGCCUGUUCGAGCGUCAUUUCAACCAUCAAGCCCCCGGCUUGUGUUGGGGACCUGCGGCUGCCGCAGGCCCUGAAAACCAGUGGCGGGCUCGUUGUCACACCGAGCGUAGUAGAUUUUCAUCUCGCUCAGGGCGUGCUGCGGGUUCCGGCCGUAAAAAGCCUUAUUUACCCAAGGUUGACCUCGGAUCAGGUAGGAAGACCCGCUGAACUUAAGCAUAUCAAUAAGCGGAGGA
RNAcentral lists this unclassified non-coding RNA (336 nucleotides) under soil metagenome. RNAcentral describes it as "partial contains 5.8S ribosomal RNA, internal transcribed spacer 2, and large subunit ribosomal RNA". The stretch from base 1 to 120 matches the Rfam family "5.8S ribosomal RNA", at positions 35 to 154 of the family's 154-position model. The record is from RNAcentral.